RNAcentral lists this ribosomal RNA (305 nucleotides) under uncultured bacterium. Its description in RNAcentral is "bacterial SSU rRNA". It matches the Rfam family "Bacterial small subunit ribosomal RNA", at positions 333 to 655 of the family's 1533-position model. The record is from RNAcentral.
GAGGCCCUACGGGGCGCAGCAGUGGGGAAUAUUGCGCAAUGGGGGCAACCCUGAUGCAGCGACGCCGCGUGAAGGAAGAAGUAUUUCGGUAUGUAAACUUCUAUCAGCAGGGAAGAAAAUGACGGUACCUGACUAAGAAGCCCCGGCUAACUACGUGCCAGCAGCCGCGGUAAUACGUAGGGGGCAAGCGUUAUCCGGAUUUACUGGGUGUAAAGGGAGCGUAGACGGCAGAGCAAGUCUGAAGUGAAAGCCCGCGGCCCAACUGCGGGACUGCUUUGGAAACUGCCCGGCUAGAGUGCUGGAGG